AAUUGGCGAUCAGAACACAUAUGGGUAGAACUUCUAAAAGGUUCUUGAAAAAGGGGUAAUUGUUUCUGGGCCUGUAUUCUUUUUCUAGGUUCACUAGGA
Molecule: ribosomal RNA, 99 nt
Filed under: Triticum aestivum (bread wheat)
Lineage: Eukaryota; Viridiplantae; Streptophyta; Magnoliopsida; Poales; Poaceae
Description: partial small subunit ribosomal RNA
Source: RNAcentral